This 464-nucleotide long non-coding RNA is filed under the name Homo sapiens (human). RNAcentral's name for it is "non-protein coding lnc-FZD9-1:1". The record is from RNAcentral. Lineage: Eukaryota; Metazoa; Chordata; Mammalia; Primates; Hominidae.
CUGCACUCCAGCCUGGGGGACAGAGUGAGACCCCGUCUCAAACAAACAAAACAAAACAAAAUGAGGAUGAUGGGGCUUCCAAUGGCAACUCGAGACAUUAGUUUACUCCAGAGUCAUGGAGACAGUGAAUGGAGUGUGUGUGUGUGUGUGUGUGCGUGUGUGUGUGUGUGUGUGUUUGUGUGCGUGUGUGUGAGUGAGAGAGACAGAGAGGAAGAAGGGAGGGAGGGACGGUUACAGGAGUGUGGGAAAGUCAACAGGAAAAGGAGGGAAGGUUCGCUGUGAACUGACAGUAACUGUGACCUCACAGGCAUGUGCGGAGUCCCCGCCCCACCAGGCACUGUGCCAAGGCCAGUACCUUCAUGUCAUGAGACCCUCUCAGCAACUCUAUAACCUUGUCCCCACCAGAAUAUUCCUUUCACAGCUGAGAAAACAACAGCACAAAGAGGAUGAAUUAAAAAUUGUCU